CAGGACCAUCUGGCAAAAGGUGCCCAGGCCUUGAGCAUGCAGAGAACCUGAUGGACCCAGAGGGGCCGUGGGACAAAGAGGACCUGUGAAGAUGGAUAUUGGAUGACGUCAUGCACUGCUUGAGGAAGUGAGAACCCCAGAAGGCCCAGAUGGAAGCUCGGUGUCGGAAAUUGGGAUGGUCAGAGAGACGACAGUUUUGCUUCUUGAACCCCCAAGAUGCAGGAGAUGCAGAGUUAACAGAAGCCUAGAUGAGAACGACUUACUGCUGGAGGCAGGGGACCAGACCAUCAGAAGCAGCUGGCUGGACUCUGCAAGGCGCCAGUGCCCUGAGGAAAUCGGAGACUGUCUUCCAGGGGGACGGAAGCACACUCGCUGGCUAAGAUUCUCCGGUCCUCCCCUUUGAGUCAGAGAGAGAAAUUUCCCCAGGAGGCAGGCUCCCACUCUCUGACCAUUGCAAGAGGCCCCAGGGGAUGGUAGGGCCACAAGAUGGAAGGAGCUUGGGUUCCUGUGUUACCACAUGGAGAAAAGCUGCUGUCCACCAGGAACACUGAGAUUAACUGCGGUGAGAAAUAAAUUCCUACCAUAUUAAGCCACUGACAUUCUGGAGUUCAUCUAUUAUAGCAACUAGUGUUUCUCUGACUAAUACCUGCCUGCCUUGAUUGAAUUGGAGACUAAAAGUGAAUUUCUAAUCAGAAUGA
This is a long non-coding RNA of Balaenoptera ricei (Rice's whale), 698 nucleotides long. RefSeq lists it as uncharacterized. Lineage: Eukaryota; Metazoa; Chordata; Mammalia; Artiodactyla; Balaenopteridae. The record is from RefSeq and is a predicted model, not a curated record. The transcript has 4 exons.